This 30-nucleotide small RNA is filed under the name Bombyx mori (domestic silkworm). Its description in RNAcentral is "ovarian small RNA-27736". The record is from RNAcentral. Lineage: Eukaryota; Metazoa; Arthropoda; Insecta; Lepidoptera; Bombycidae.
UCCUAUCCGGUGUCCCACGACACCACACAU